This 839-nucleotide ribosomal RNA is filed under the name uncultured bacterium. Its description in RNAcentral is "bacterial SSU rRNA". It matches the Rfam family "Bacterial small subunit ribosomal RNA", at positions 8 to 848 of the family's 1533-position model. The record is from RNAcentral.
AGAGUUUGAUCAUGGCUCAGGAUGAACGCUAGCGGCAGGCCUAAUACAUGCAAGUCGAGGGAGAAGUUAAAGCUUGCUUUAAUGGAAACCGGCGCACGGGUGCGUAACACGUAUGCAACCUACCUAUUACUGGGAGAUAGCCCGGGGAAACCCGGAUUAAUACCCCAUAGUAUCAUCAGAUGGCAUCUGAAGAUGAUUAAAGCUCCGGCGGUAAUAGAUGGGCAUGCGGAAGAUUAGCUAGUUGGUGAGGUAAUGGCUCACCAAGGCGACGAUCUUUAGGGGUUCUGAGAGGAUUAUCCCCCACACUGGCACUGAGAUACGGGCCAGACUCCUACGGGAGGCAGCAGUAGGGAAUAUUGGUCAAUGGGCGAAAGCCUGAACCAGCCAUGCCGCGUGCAGGAUGACAGCCUUCUGGGUUGUAAACUGCUUUUCUACAGGAAGAAAAAAUCUUUGCGAAGAUAAUUGACGGUACUGUAGGAAUAAGCACCGGCUAACUCCGUGCCAGCAGCCGCGGUAAUACGGAGGGUGCAAGCGUUGUCCGGAUUUAUUGGGUUUAAAGGGUACGUAGGUGGAUUUUUAAGUCCGUGGUGAAAGCCUGCAGCUUAACUGUAGAACUGCCAUGGAUACUGGAAAUCUUGAAUUCAGUUGAGGUAAGCGGAAUUUAUGGUGUAGCGGUGAAAUGCAUAGAUACCAUAAAGAACACCCAUUGCGAAGGCAGCUUACUGGACUUGAAUUGACACUGAGGUACGAAAGCGUGGGGAGCGAACAGGAUUAGAUACCCUGGUAGUCCACGCCGUAAACUAUGGAUACUUGUUGUUGGCGAUAUACUGUCAGUGACC